RNAcentral lists this small RNA (132 nucleotides) under Pseudomonas jinjuensis. RNAcentral's name for it is "Pseudomonas sRNA P18". It matches the Rfam family "Pseudomonas sRNA P18". The record is from Rfam by way of RNAcentral. Lineage: Bacteria; Pseudomonadati; Pseudomonadota; Gammaproteobacteria; Pseudomonadales; Pseudomonadaceae.
GGGGUCUACCUGAGCCCGCUGUUCAUCUAUGCGCUGGUCGCCCUGGGGCUGACCGUGCUGGUCCGCAUGCUGAUGCAGCUGACCCCGCUCGGUCGCUGGAUCUGGCACGAAGCCCUGUUCGACUGUGCGCUG